AUUGAACGCUGGCGGCAGGCCUAACACAUGCAAGUCGAGCGGAUGAAGGGAGCUUGCUCCUGGAUUCAGCGGCGGACGGGUGAGUAAUGCCUAGGAAUCUGCCUGGUAGUGGGGGAUAACGUCCGGAAACGGGCGCUAAUACCGCAUACGUCCUGAGGGAGAAAGUGGGGGAUCUUCGGACCUCACGCUAUCAGAUGAGCCUAGGUCGGAUUAGCUAGUUGGUGGGGUAAAGGCCUACCAAGGCGACGAUCCGUAACUGGUCUGAGAGGAUGAUCAGUCACACUGGAACUGAGACACGGUCCAGACUCCUACGGGAGGCAGCGGUGGGGAAUAUUGGACAAAGGGCGAAAGCCUGAUCCAGCCAUGCCGCGUGUGUGAAGAAGGUCUUCGGAUUGUAAAGCACUUUAAGUUGGGAGGAAGGGCAGUAAGUUAAUACCUUGCUGUUUUGACGUUACCGACAGAAUAAGCACCGGCUAACUUCGUG
RNAcentral lists this ribosomal RNA (484 nucleotides) under uncultured bacterium. RNAcentral describes it as "partial 16S ribosomal RNA". It matches the Rfam family "Bacterial small subunit ribosomal RNA", at positions 30 to 507 of the family's 1533-position model. The record is from RNAcentral.